GAUCAGUGUCGGGGACGAAGUUCGCGGGGGUUGGUAAAAAGCGUCUAUAGCAAGAUUAAAGGGGUGGUGUAGACAAGUGUUGGAAGGAAGGAAGGAAGGAGAAGGAAGGAAAGGAGGAAGGAGGGUCGGUCGCAUACCGUCGCACGAAUGGCGUCUGCGCGACUGACGUCACCAUAUUGAUUUCCCUUUGGUACCGCGAGCGUAGAGUCGGAGCAUCGAUUUGGCACCUCUCGCUACCAGCUAAAGGGAUUGACAGAGAGGAGAGUCCAGUGAGCGAAACAGAGGUGAGAGGUGAGCAAGGUGUCCAGCGAAGCGGCUGGUUGUCCUCAGGAACUGGGAAACAGUGUGGUUGUUCAGCGAUGCAGAAUUAUGGCCACGAGGACUACGACUAUGAGACUGGGACUGGACACGACGGCGUUGCCCGCUCCCUUCCGUCGGUUCCUGGCCAGCCUGGAGGACUCGGAGUCCCCGCGGCCCCGGGGAUCAGACCCAUAGUCGACCCUCAGGCCCAGGGUGAGGUGGACCCGACGGUAUACCCCCAGCCGAAGGAGGCUACUCACAAGAUUCGUGGGAAGAGCGACAUCCUCGAGUACCUGUUCGGCUCCGUAGACCAGGAACUCCUCACCGUGAAAACGUUCUACUUCUUCUUCUACUCUGCGUUCGGUUCUCUGUUCCCGCUGAUGGGUGUAUACUUCAAGCAGAUGGGAAUGAACGCCGGUCAGUGUGGUCUUCUCAUCGGAUCCAGACCCUUCGUUGAGUUUCUCAGCGCUCCGUUUUGGGGCUCACUUGCCGACAGAUGGCAGAAGGGGAAGAUGAUUCUUCUCGCAUCGCUUUCCUGCUGGAUAAUCUUCACCCUUCCUCUGGGCUUCAUUGAACCACCGGCUAUAUCGUGCAUGGUUUUAGAAAACGACGUGCCGAUGCUUAAGAACCCCGAGCGAGACACGCGGAUCGGGAAGCGUUCGGUCAGUAUGGAGAGCUACUACCGUCCCGACGACGACAUGACGGAUUUAGAGACGGCGGAUAACGUGGUUUUCGAAAGGAUUCGCCGAGAUGUUGGGGGCGCCGAAUACGACCAUCGUAGGUCUUCGAAGCGGGUCCGAGCGUCGAGCGAUCAUGUCAACAUGAGGCGAACCCUGGGUUACGAUUUAGAUAACAAUGAAGUUGAUGACGCUCAAAGUCCCUACGACCUGGAGGGUAACAGGGUGACGCGCGAGACACACCUCGACCCCGAAGACGGCGUUGCCGAGGAUCUGGAGUACAAGCAAUUCAUGGAAAGUGAGGAGAUCCCGGAUCCAUCCGUCCAAUCCGUCGAUUUAAAGAGCUUGGAACGGAGAAACAGACCCGCUGACGUUCUGGAAUACAAAAGGUUUUUAAAGAACGAGCCUUUGGACGAAAGCAGACCGCCGAAGAAGGCUUACACGAAGUCGAAGACGCACGUUAAACCUCCAAGAGAAAAGGUAAUGGUGAAGAGAAACAUAGUCAGUAGGGGUUCGGACAUCCUGCGGCAUCACAGGUAUAAGAAGUUGGGUAAACGGGAAACGAAUUCGAGACAAAUUGUCGCUUCGAAAAAUGACAUUUACGGUAUGAGUGUUAAGGGUCUGAGGAAAUUGAUGUUCGUCGAAGAUGUAGAAACGGAAACGUCUGGGACUAGGAGUCGUCGUUCGGUAAAGGGGUAUCACGUCCCACAAUCAAGUGGCCGAAGUCCGUUUCCGGUCACUUACGCCGCAAACUACAACAAAAAAGAGGACGAGGAUUUGGUCAAGCCGAUGUUCAGUUCAAUCGUAUACAAAAUUUCGGAUAUCCAAAAGACGUUCUUCCUUCUGCUCCUCCUCGUCAUCGUCGGUGAGUUUUUCUCGGCACCUGCGAUCACCUUGGCUGACUCUGCGGUCAUCACUCUUCUCGGCGAGGACGCAGACAGGUACGGACACCAGCGUAUGUUCGGAAGUCUGGGAUGGGGCUUGGCCAUGUUCUUCGUCGGAAUCGCCCUUGAUCACAGCACCGCGUUUCCGGAUCAUCCCUGCGAGCCAGACGCCAGAGAAAAAAAUUACACCAUUUGCUUCGCCACGUUUAGCGUCCUUAUGGGCGCAGCAUUGAUCACCGCGACGCAGAUAAACUUCAAGUAUGAUUUUCCCGUUGCGGAACCGGAAGUGUCAAAACCUGCGGCCGAACCAACCCGGGAAGAACAACUUCAGAGUCAAUUGUCCCAGCAGCUGAAUUUACCGGGCCUUCAAGAUUCGUCGGGAAACCCUGACCCCAAGCCACAACCACCGGAAGGCAAGACGAAAAUGUUCGCGCAAACAACGCGGGAAAUUCCCGAAUGGGUCACAGUCCUGAACCAGUUCAAGGACCUGAAGUGCGCGUCCUUUCUCUUCGUUGCAUGGUUCAUGGGAUUUGGAAUAGGGCUGAUAUUCACUUUCCUCUUCUGGCACCUGCAGGACUACGGAGGAAGUCCGACGCUCUUCGGAGUAGCCUCGGUGAUCAAUCACAUAUCCGAGAUCUUCGCCUACUUCUUCAGCUUCAAGUUAAUCCGACAAAUCGGGCACGUCAAGGUCCUCUGUCUGGGACUAGUCGGCAACAUACUGCGCUUCUUGUACAUUUCGUGGCUGAAGAAUCCUUGGUGGGUUCUCCCCUUCGAAUUCAUGCAGGGAAUCACCCACGCCGCAGUUUGGGCAGCCUGCUGCAGCUACAUCGCUCACAACACGCCACCCCAGCUGAGAUCAAGCGCUCAAGGUGUUCUCCAGGGUCUUCAUCACGGAUUGGGUCGAGGAUGCGGUGCCGUCAUCGGUGGAAUGUUUGUCGCCAGUUACGGCACCACAGCAACCUUCCGAGCCUAUGGCCUGGUCUGCAUAGGAGUCUUGGCCGCGUUUAUAUUCAUAAACUUUUACCGAAAGGACACGGGAUUCGUCUCGGAACUACCACAGACGGAAGACCCUCACCAAGUAGCCGAAGCAACGCAUUUGGCCCCGCACGGAGUUCCCAGCAACGCAAUUCCUCGUGCUUUGAGCUCGAGUCGACUUCACGAGCUGGCCAAUCAGGAACCGGGAUACGGUGCCACUUAUCAGACGUCAGGUGGAAACCUGGAUAUUCCCGGUGGUAACGGAGGGAACACUAAUCCUACGAAUCCAUUCCUGAACGGCGGAGGAGGCGGUGGAGGUGGAGGUGGAGGUGGAGGUGGAGGCGGUGGUUAUAAUUACGGAGUGGCCGGCAAAGGGGAAGAUGAAUUUAUUCGUAGGAGCUUCCAGGUCGAGCAUGGAAUAUCCCGUUAAUAUCGAUAUUAGACGUUCAUUAUGUUGUUUGCCCGAUAGUGUCGAAUGAUCAAAUCUUCGCGUCUCGCAGUGUCGCGUCCAGUCAAAUACGUGAAGUGGUCGGGAGGGAAUACGACUUGGCAAAAGUACCGGAGACCUAUCUCCACGCCCAACAGCCUUGCACUAAUCCGUUUCACCAGCA
Molecule: unclassified non-coding RNA, 3447 nt
Filed under: Neodiprion pinetum (white pine sawfly)
Lineage: Eukaryota; Metazoa; Arthropoda; Insecta; Hymenoptera; Diprionidae
Description: major facilitator superfamily domain-containing protein 6, transcript variant X3
Source: RNAcentral